GACGAACGCUGGCGGCGUGCCUAACACAUGCAAGUCGAACGGAGAGGACAUGAAGUAUUUCGGUACGGAAUGCUCUCUUAGUGGCGAACGGGUGAGUAACACGUGGGCAACCUGCCCCAGACUGGGGGAUAACAUUGUGAAAACAGUGCUAAUACCGCAUGACAGGGUUCCGGGCAUCCGGGACCCUUGAAAGGAGAAAUCCGGUCAGGGAUGGGCCCGCGUCCAAUUAGCUAGUUGGCGGGGUAACGGCCCACCAAGGCGACGAUUGGUAGCCGAACUGAGAGGUUGAUCGGCCACAUUGGGACUGAGACACGGCCCAGACUCCUACGGGGGGCAGCAGUAGGGAAUAUUGCGCAAUGGGGGGGAACCCUGACGCAGCAACGCCACGUGUGGGAAGAAGCAUUUUCGGUGUGUAAACCACUGUCGGAAAGGAAUAACGGAAGACUUCGGUCUUUAUGAAUGUACUUUUAGAGGUAAGCACCGGCAAACUUCGUG
RNAcentral lists this ribosomal RNA (495 nucleotides) under uncultured bacterium. Its description in RNAcentral is "bacterial SSU rRNA". It matches the Rfam family "Bacterial small subunit ribosomal RNA", at positions 28 to 507 of the family's 1533-position model. The record is from RNAcentral.